Lolium rigidum is the source of this 241-nucleotide long non-coding RNA. RefSeq lists it as uncharacterized. The record is from RefSeq and is a predicted model, not a curated record. The transcript has 3 exons. Lineage: Eukaryota; Viridiplantae; Streptophyta; Magnoliopsida; Poales; Poaceae.
GGAGGUUUUGUGGUCGACAACAAUAUCACAUCUCCUAUUUCGAAGAUUAAUUUUUCGCAAGCUUUUGUUGAGCAGGAUGUGUCUGCAUUUCUGAUGCCUCAAGGAGGUACAGUAAACAAGAAUAGUAAUAGAAGCAGCACUAUAAGUGGAUCUAAAGGGGCUCCUAUUCUUGUACAUGAGAAUUCUCCGAAAGAUAUUUUGAAAUCUUCAAAAGUUUCUAAUGGAUCAAAUGAUUUCCGCG